ACGGCUCCAGUACACGUCGGUAACCUGCCCUAUGGUUCGAGCAUAACCUCGGGAAACUGAGGGUAAUUCUCGAUAGGUGAUACAGCCUGGAAUGGCUCGUCACCGAAACACGUGCCGUAGGAUGGGCCGGCGGUUGAUUAGGCUGUUGGUGGGGUAACGGCCCACCAAACCAAAGAUCAAUACGGGCCUUGAGAGAGGUAGCCCGGAGAGGGACACUGAGAUACGGGUCCCAGCCCCACGGGGUGCAGCAGGCGCGAAACCUUUACAAUGCACGAAAGUGUGAUAGGGGGAUACUCAGUGCUCCCCGCCCCCCCUGUAGGCUUUUGUCGAUCGUAAAUAGAUCGGCGAAUAAGUGGUGGGAAAGACUGGUGCCAGCCGCCGCGCCCACCCCAGCGCCACAAGUGGUUAUCACGAUUAUUGGGCCUAAAGCGUUCGUAGCCGGUUUGGUAAAUCUCUUGUGAAAUUGUUCGGCUUAACCGGACAGCGUGCAGGAGACACUGCUAGACUCGAGACCGGGAGGCGUAAGAAGUAUUCCAUGGGGACUGGUAAAAUGGGAUAAUCCAUGGAAGACUACCGAUGGCGAAGGCAUCUUACGAGAACGGAUCUGACGGUGAGGAACGAAAGCCAGGGGAGCGAACCGGAUUAGAUACCCGAGUAGUCCUGGCCGUAAACGCUGUGAACAAGGUGUCGCGUAUCUCACGAAGAUGCGCGGUGUCGAAAUGAAGAUGCUAAGUUCACCGCCUGGGAAGUACGGUCGCAAGACUGAAACUUUAAGGAAUUGGCGGGGGAGCAC
This 793-nucleotide ribosomal RNA is filed under the name uncultured archaeon. RNAcentral describes it as "bacterial SSU rRNA". It matches the Rfam family "Archaeal small subunit ribosomal RNA", at positions 85 to 879 of the family's 1478-position model. The record is from RNAcentral.